GCAUAUCAAUAAGCGGAGGAAAAGAAACUAACAAGGAUUCCCCUAGUAACUGCGAGUGAAGAGGGAAAAGCUCAAAUUUAAAAUCUGGCAGUUUCACUGUCCGAGUUGUAAUUUAGAGAAGUGUUGCCCGCGUUGGACCGUGUACAAGUCUCCUGGAACGGAGCGUCAUAGAGGGUGAGAAUCCCGUCUUUGACACGGACUACCAAGGCUUUGUGGUACGCUCUCGAAGAGUCGAGUUGUUUGGGAAUGCAGCUCUAAAUGGGUGGUAAAUUCCAUCUAAAGCUAAAUAUUGGCGAGAGACCGAUAGCAAACAAGUACCGUGAGGGAAAGAUGAAAAGAACUUUGGAAAGAGAGUUAAACAGUACGUGAAAUUGUUGAAAGGGAAACGCUUAAAGUCCAGUCGCGUUGGUUAGGAAUCAGCCUUGGUUUUCCUUGGUGCACUUCCUAGUCGACGGGUCAACAUCAGUUUUGACCGUUGGAUAAAGGUCAAGGGAAUGUGGCACCUUCGGGUGUGUUAUAGCCUUUGAUUGUAUACAGCGGUUGGGACUGAGGAACUCAGCACGCCGAAAGGCCGGGUCUUGUACCACGUUCGUGCUUAGGAUGUUGGCAUAAUGGCUUUAAUCGACCCGUCUUGAAACACGGACCAAGGAGUCUAACAUGCCUGCGAGUGUUUGGGUGGAAAACCCGAGCGCGUAAUGAAAGUGAAAGUUGAGAACUCUUAGAGUGCAUCGACGCCCGGAGCAGACCUUUUGUGACGCAUCCGCGGUAGAGCAUGUAUGUUGGGACCCGAAAGAUGGUGAACUAUGCCUGAAUAGGGUGAAGCCAGAGGAAACUCUGGUGGAGGCUCGUAGCGAUUCYSACGWGYAMMYCGAUCGUCGAAUUUGGGUAUAGGGGCGAAAGACUAAUCGAACCAUCUAGUAGCUGGUUCCUGCCGA
RNAcentral lists this ribosomal RNA (935 nucleotides) under Desarmillaria tabescens. Its description in RNAcentral is "partial large subunit ribosomal RNA". It matches the Rfam family "Eukaryotic large subunit ribosomal RNA", at positions 38 to 964 of the family's 3401-position model. The record is from RNAcentral. Lineage: Eukaryota; Fungi; Basidiomycota; Agaricomycetes; Agaricales; Physalacriaceae.